ACAGCCUUGGUAGGACAUCUAUUUCUCAAUUCCAUAAACCGGUAAGCUCCAUUUUUUUUAUAGGACCUGAAGGCUAGGCUAAACCUCCCUCAAAGGGAUUCCUGAGCGGAACUCUUUUUCAAAGAACUGGCGAUAUUCCCUUAACUGCAGAUUCAAUAGCACCGAUUAUGAACCCGGAAAGAGAAGAGCACCGUCUACUCAUACUGUCACACCGGCAAGGACUUUCACUUUCUAAAUAGAAAGGAAGAGGUCAGGCCCACCUUUCACAAGAGUAGAAGCUGGUACUCAACACUUGUAUUCUAUUCCCCAUUAUUUCUUUUUUUCGCUUUCUAGAAAUAUCAUAAGAGAAGAAAGAAGUUCAUGUAGGUCGGAUCCUAGCGUAGAUAAAUGCUAUCCGACUUGAAUGAUCGAAUUUUGCGUUUAGAGUUUCGUACCCAGGCACGGAAUCCACUUGCCAACUGAUCCGAGUUUGAAUUGGGGAACGAACGAUCUAAGUAAGGAGGUAGCUCCAGGAAGGUAGUUCUUUGACCCAGUUCAGUGAGACCGGGGCUUAGCUCUUUGAAGCAGAUGUUUAAGGAAGUUUCAAAAUGCUUACUCGAAAGAGUAAGGAAGAAGAGCUGCUUUUAUUUAAGCGGAAUCAGAGCUCUUGGGUAAGAAGGCAGGAAGAAGUUCACACCAGGAUUGAAGAAGCGGGUUUGAUAGAACCAGGGUCAGCGAAAGACGAUGGAAAAGGCUGCUUGUAAGCGUGAUCCUCUAUCCUCUCUCUUUCUAUCAUCAGAGAAUCAAUCUCGUAGCCUAGCUACGUAGCAGGCUCAGAGCCUUUUGAUGGAGGAAGAACCGCGGCUAUGGAAUCUGCUGCUCUGGCCGCUGUUCUGUUACCCGGUCUUGGUGGUGUAGUUAUAGGAGGUGCCGUAGCUUUAAACUCUUUUUUCGAGAUGAGAAUCAUAGACUUUUUUAUUGCCCAAGCAAGGGAAUCCAUUUGCCUUCGACCUGACUUUCUGAAAUGGGAUUCCGAGAAGGUGGAGUUCAGUAACCCAGUUCAGUGACCGAGGAGAGGUUGAGAAGAAGACAAUGAAUGGAAUGGUCCGAAAGUCGCUAUAGAAGAUCGAAUGAGUCUUAGUGAAGCUAGUCCAUUAAUUAGAUAGAUCACCUGUGCGUACGUUAUCUAUAAUAAGAAAAAACCUGGCUCCAGGUAGCGAAAGGGAGUAGCAAAGGGGAAAUUCGUUAGGAGAGAAGACCAGGAUUCCCUUGGUCCUUCUAAGGACCAGCAGCAUACCUGGAUUUACCGUCCAUCCAGAGAAUACCAGUCGUCCAGCUUAGAAACCAUUGAACUAGCUGCCGGAGAAGGGGAACUUCAACUAAGAAAGAAGAAGAAUAAGAAGAAUUGCUUAAGUAUGGCCAUUUUGUGUUCGAAUUCUAAACCGGCGAGGCGCUGCUGGAUGCUUCUGAUCAAUAGAACACGAAGAAGAGGAAAUCGAAUUAUGUAUGAUGAGCUUGAGUCGAGUCACAAAAAGGGUUAUGAUGAGCUUGAGUCGAGUCACAAAAAAGGGUAUGAUGAGCUUGAGUCGAUUAUUUCCAAGAUCGAAUUCCAGCUUUUUCUUAUGUAGUGUAUUAUUAUUUUUCCUUUUUUCUACCCUUUCUAUUCGAGGAGUCAAAACAAAGAGUAUAAAAUAUCUUUUGGUAUUCGUUCUUCUCCCUCUCCUAUUUCUGAAUUAUUAUUCGGGCGGGGCUCUUGAAGGCUUCCUUGCCGCGUGCGACGCGGGAAGGGGUUCCCCGUCUGGCCCUUUUUACCCUCCUGGGAGAGAAGCACAGCCGCACAUUCCCGAGCCCGAGGUUGCGCCCAUUCCGCGCGCCGUUCUGGUUCCGGAAUUAGAACGCCCUCUCCUUCCUGAUAUCCAAAGGAGAGCGGAGCUUCAACACCGGCUGUCCUUCUAUUUUAUCGGGAGGAACGAGCCCAGGCACCUCCCACUCUUUUUGGGUAUCCUGGAGAAGCAGUUCCUCUUGGAAAAGAGGGUCGAGGCCGCAUUGGUGGGGGAUGGGUUUCCCCCCCAGAUAGUUCUGGCUCGGAGGUCAGAAAUCCGCAACCUCCUCUUUAACCACCCUACUAGGGGUGGGGCGGCUCUCUCUGAGAAUACCUUAAAUAGGUAUUUGGGCCAGGUCGAGCGGGAUGGCACGCAGCAGAGCGUGCCCUAUCUUAGGGUGCCGUGCUGCCCGCUAUUGGGUCUAAGUGGGUUCUCCCGCUUUUUCGCCUUUCGAAGGGUGGCCCACACACGGACAGGGGGAAAGGGGGGAGACUAGCCUCAUUACUUCCCACUGGGCGAGAGGUGCACCUAACCCACCUACCCAUCAUCAAUCACGGUGUUCAGCUGACUUGCACUGAUAGACCCCUAUUGUAUUGGAAUUAGGCGCCCAUCUUUUUACUGUUGUCAAUGAAUCUCUUCCAUGUUCGAUUCUACUCUAUGUUAGAACAUUUCUGUGAAUGCUAUUCUGAUCUAAGUGGUCUUAUUCUUUGUCCCGUGCUAGGAAGCAUUACUCCUCUUUUCAUUCCAAAUUCAAGAAUACGACCGAUACGAUUAAUUGGUCUGUGCGCCUCUCUUAUUACUUUUUUGUAUCCCCCUGUUCUUCGGAUACAAUUCGAUCCUUCUACGGCCAAAUCUCAAUUUGUGGAAAGCCUUCGAUGGCUUCUUAUGAAAACAUCAAUUUUUAUUUGGGUAUAGACGGUAUCUCUUUAUUUUCGUGAUAUUGACCACAUUUCUGAUCCCUAUUUGCAUUUUAGUGGGUUGGUCUGGUAUGAGAAGUUAUGGGAAAGAGUAUAUUACAGCAUUUCUAAUUCGUGAAUUUAUAAUGAUCGCCGUGUUCUGCAUGCUGGAUCUUCUACUAUUCUAUGUUCUUCCCGAAAGUGUCUACCCUGACUUUACCAUUAUUAUAGGGGUAUAGGGUUCGAGACAAAGAAAGAUCAAGGCAGCAUAUCAGUUGUUCCUUUAUACUUUGUUUGGAUCUAUUUUUAUGUUUUAGCUAUUCUAUUGAUUCUUCUACCAAACAGGAACAACUAAUUUACAAACUCAUUAACCACAGAAUUUAGUGAGCGGCGCCAAAUCUUUCAAUGGAUUGCUUCUCCCUUUCACCGUCAAAGUGCCUAUGGUACCAGUUCAUAUUUGGUUACCCGAAGCUCAUGUAGAGGCACCUACGGCAGGAUCCAUCAUCUUGGCAGGAAUUUCUUUAAAAUUAGGAACCUAUGGGUUUUUAAGAUUUUCAAUGCACAUGUUUCUCGAAGCGAGACUUUGUUCCACUCCUUUCAUUAAUACUUUAAGCGCGAUUGGUAUAACAUAUACUUCCUCGACCACUUUAAGGCAGAUCGAUCUUAAGAAGAUCAUUGCUUACUCCUCAGUAGCUCAUAUGAAUCUGGUGACUAUUGGUAUGUUUAGUCCGGACAUACAGGGAAUUGGAGGUAGCAUUCUACCGAUGUCUAGUCAUGGACUGGUUUCUUCAGCCCUUUUUCUAUGUGUUGGUGUUCUAUAUGACCGACAUAAGACUCGACUUGUUAGAUAUUACAGAGGUUCAGUGAGCACCAUGUCGAAUCUCUCUACCAUUUUCUUCUCUUCCACUUUGGCCAAUAUGAGUUCACCUGGUACUAGCAGCUUUCUCGGGGAAUUUCUCAUCUUAGUAGGAGCUUUCGAAAGAAAUAGCUUAGUUGCCACAUUAGCAGCGGUUGGGAUGAUUUUAGGCGCGACCUAUUACCUUUGUCUAUAUAAUCGUGCGGUAUCUGGGAAUUUAAAACCUGAUUUCCUCCAUAAAUUCUCCGAUCCAAAUGGCAGAGAAGUUUCCAUAUUUAUACCUUUUCUUGUUGGAGUUAUCUACAUGGGAAUGAAUUCGUCCGUCAAACCCGCCAUUUGUAUGCACCCGAACAUGUUCAAUCGACCUUCGGCGUAAGCGACUUCGUACUGCUAUAGGCUCUAGUUAGGACUUAGAUAUGAACACCCCCCCUUCGUUAGAAUCCACCCUAAAGUUUCUUAGUAAACAGGGAUCGUUCAGUAAUGACCUAGUCUUUCGCGAGACUUCAGGUUUACCUCUUUUGUUAGGUCUCGACUUCUCCGUUAUGAUCGCGUUUUGUACCCCUACUAAGAACUUGAGAGACGGAACUAUGACUCACGGAAGCGGUAUAUUAGUGCCUUAUGCGGGAAAUCCUUGCUUGACUUGUUGAUCAUCUAUCAUUACUGGCGAAGCAAGCAUACCGAUAAUCAACUCGCUUGAGAGAACAAUUCGAGAAGGAAGACCCCAAGCC
Molecule: RNA transcript, 4282 nt
Organism: Solanum verrucosum
Lineage: Eukaryota; Viridiplantae; Streptophyta; Magnoliopsida; Solanales; Solanaceae
Gene name: NADH-ubiquinone oxidoreductase chain 4-like
Exons: 4
Source: RefSeq, a predicted model, not a curated record